RNAcentral lists this ribosomal RNA (696 nucleotides) under Paracoccus sp. AS3. RNAcentral's name for it is "bacterial SSU rRNA". It matches the Rfam family "Bacterial small subunit ribosomal RNA", at positions 8 to 752 of the family's 1533-position model. The record is from RNAcentral. Lineage: Bacteria; Pseudomonadati; Pseudomonadota; Alphaproteobacteria; Rhodobacterales; Paracoccaceae.
AGAGUUUGAUCCUGGCUCAGAACGAACGCUGGCGGCAGGCCUAACACAUGCAAGUCGAGCGCACCUUCGGGUGAGCGGCGGACGGGUGAGUAACGCGUGGGAAUAUGCCCUUUGGUACGGAAUAGUCCUGGGAAACUGGGGGUAAUACCGUAUGCGCCCUUCGGGGGAAAGAUUUAUCGCCAAAGGAUUAGCCCGCGUUGGAUUAGGUAGUUGGUGGGGUAAUGGCCUACCAAGCCGACGAUCCAUAGCUGGUUUGAGAGGAUGAUCAGCCACACUGGGACUGAGACACGGCCCAGACUCCUACGGGAGGCAGCAGUGGGGAAUCUUAGACAAUGGGGGCAACCCUGAUCUAGCCAUGCCGCGUGAGUGAUGAAGGCCCUAGGGUUGUAAAGCUCUUUCAGCUGGGAAGAUAAUGACGGUACCAGCAGAAGAAGCCCCGGCUAACUCCGUGCCAGCAGCCGCGGUAAUACGGAGGGGGCUAGCGUUGUUCGGAAUUACUGGGCGUAAAGCGCACGUAGGCGGACCGGAAAGUUGGGGGUGAAAUCCCGGGGCUCAACCCCGGAACUGCCUUCAAAACUAUCGGUCUGGAGUUCGAGAGAGGUGAGUGGAAUUCCGAGUGUAGAGGUGAAAUUCGUAGAUAUUCGGAGGAACACCAGUGGCGAAGGCGGCUCACUGGCUCGAUACUGACGCUGAGGU